Molecule: small nucleolar RNA, 61 nt
Filed under: Euglena gracilis
Lineage: Eukaryota; Euglenozoa; Euglenophyceae; Euglenales; Euglenaceae
Description: Eg-m140 box C/D methylation-guide
Source: RNAcentral
UCUGUGAUGACGGUCUGAAGCAGGUGAUUCCUGAUCAACUGCAGCGCUGAGACGUGUCUGA